RNAcentral lists this ribosomal RNA (426 nucleotides) under uncultured Rummeliibacillus sp. RNAcentral describes it as "bacterial SSU rRNA". It matches the Rfam family "Bacterial small subunit ribosomal RNA", at positions 356 to 774 of the family's 1533-position model. Lineage: Bacteria; Bacillati; Bacillota; Bacilli; Caryophanales; Caryophanaceae. The record is from RNAcentral.
AGGGAAUAUUCCACAAUGGACGAAAGUCUGAUGGAGCAACGCCGCGUGAGUGAUGAAGGUUUUCGGAUCGUAAAACUCUGUUGUAAUGGAAGAACAGUUAGGUCAGGCAUUGGACGUACCUGGACGGUACCUUAUAAGAAAGCACCGGCUAACUACUUGCCAGCAGCCGCGGUAAUACGUAGGUGGCAAGCGUUGUCCGGAAUUAUUGGGCGUAAAGCGCGCGCAGGUGGUUUCUUAAGUCUGAUGUGAAAGCCCACGGCUUAACCGUGGAGGGUCAUUGGAAACUGGGAGACUUGAGUGCAGAAGAGUAAAGUGGAAUUCCAAGUGUAGCGGUGAAAUGCGUAGAGAUUUGGAGGAAAACCAGUGGCGAAGGCGACUUUCUGGUCUGCAACUGACGCUGAGGCGCGAAAGCAUGGGGAGCAAACA